This 72-nucleotide transfer RNA is filed under the name Camelus bactrianus (Bactrian camel). It matches the Rfam family "tRNA". Rfam says of the family: Transfer RNA (tRNA) molecules are approximately 80 nucleotides in length. Their secondary structure includes four short double-helical elements and three loops (D, anti-codon, and T loops). Lineage: Eukaryota; Metazoa; Chordata; Mammalia; Artiodactyla; Camelidae. RNAcentral also lists the same sequence under 2 other names. The record is from Rfam by way of RNAcentral.
GAGGGUAUAGCUCAGUGGCAGAGUGCAUGCUUAGUGCACAGGAGGUCUGGGGUUCAAUCCCCAGUACUUCCA